Molecule: ribosomal RNA, 253 nt
Filed under: uncultured bacterium
Lineage: Bacteria
Description: partial 16S ribosomal RNA
Rfam family: Bacterial small subunit ribosomal RNA
Source: RNAcentral
GACGAACCGUACGAACGUUAUUCGGAAUUACUGGGCUUAAAGGGUGCGUAGGCUGUGCAGAAAGUUGGGUGUGAAAUCCCCCGGCUCAACCGGGGAAUGGCGCUCAAAACUACUGUGCUAGAGGGAGACAGAGGUAAGCGGAACUCAGGGUGGAGCGGUGAAAUGCGUUGAUAUCCUGAGGAACACCGGUGGCGAAGGCGGCUUACUGGGUCUCUUCUGACGCUGAGGCACGAAAGCUAGGGUAGCGAACGGG